GGGGUUCAAAGGACACCCCCCCCGGGACGCGGUGGAUCAACACUCUUAGGGUCAUUCCGGGACUGUCCCACCCGUCUUAAUUUACACCCGGUGCGUACCUACACGUUAAGCUUGCUUUGGCGGCAAUUCUCCGUCCAGGGGACUUAUUAACUCGAUUUAUCCGUGACGUCCGAGUGAUUCAUAAUAACUAAAACUUUCAACAACGGAUCUCUUGGUUCUGGCAUCGAUGAAGAACGCAGCGAAAUGCGAUAAGUAAUGUGAAUUGCAGAAUUCAGUGAAUCAUCGAAUCUUUGAACGCACAUUGCGCCUCCUGGAAAUUCCGGAAGGCAUACCUGUUCGAGCGUCAUUGACACCUUCAAGCUUCCCAGUUUGGCGUUGGGCAUCGUCCGUCCGGGACGUGCCUUAAAAUCAGUGACGGUCCAGGUGAUUUUUAAACGCAUUAAAUAAUCUCGUUUGAAAAAAUCGCCCGCGGCCAGUCCGUUCCAUCAUCCAAAACGAUUGACCUCGGAUCAGGUAGGGAUACCCGCUGAACUUAA
RNAcentral lists this ribosomal RNA (536 nucleotides) under Nephroma helveticum. Its description in RNAcentral is "eukaryotic LSU rRNA". The stretch from base 192 to 346 matches the Rfam family "5.8S ribosomal RNA". Lineage: Eukaryota; Fungi; Ascomycota; Lecanoromycetes; Peltigerales; Nephromataceae. The record is from RNAcentral.